Molecule: ribosomal RNA, 393 nt
Filed under: uncultured bacterium
Lineage: Bacteria
Description: partial 16S ribosomal RNA
Rfam family: Bacterial small subunit ribosomal RNA
Source: RNAcentral
AUACGGAGGAUGCGAGCGUUAUCCGGAUUUAUUGGGUUUAAAGGGUGCGUAGGCGGGCUGUUAAGCGUGAGGUGAAAGCUCGGGGCUCAACCCCGGAACUGCCUCGCGAACUGGCGGGCUUGAAUGUCCGUGCCGGGGGCGGAAUGGGUGGUGUAGCGGUGAAAUGCAUAGAGAUCACACAGAACACCGAUUGCGAAGGCAUCUGACGAAUCCGUCACUGACGCUGAGGCACGAAAGCGUGGGGAUAGAACAGGAUUAGAUACCCUGGUAUUCCACGCCGUAAACGAUGAUGACUAACCGUCGGCGAUAGACAGCCGGUGGCCAAGCGAAAGCGAUAAGUCAUCCACCUGGGGAGUACGUCGGCAACGAUGAAACUCAAAUGAAUUGACGGGG